This 30-nucleotide non-coding RNA is filed under the name Homo sapiens (human). Lineage: Eukaryota; Metazoa; Chordata; Mammalia; Primates; Hominidae. The record is from RNAcentral.
UGUGUUUUGUCCAGGUGGACCGACCAUGGA